GACGAACGCUGGCGGCGUGCCUAAUACAUGCAAGUCGAGCGAAGUUUUUCUGGUGCUUGCACUAGAAAAACUUAGCGGCGAACGGGUGAGUAACACGUAAAGAACCUGCCUCAUAGACUGGGACAACUAUUGGAAACGAUAGCUAAUACCGGAUAACAGUAUUUCUCGCAUGAGAGAUAUUUAAAAGUUGGUUAUGCUAACACUAUGAGAUGGCUUUGCGGUGCAUUAGCUAGUUGGUGGGGUAAAGGCCCACCAAGGCGACGAUGCAUAGCCGACCUGAGAGGGUGAUCGGCCACACUGGGACUGAGACACGGCCCAGACUCCUACGGGAGGCAGCAGUAGGGAAUCUUCCGCAAUGGGCGAAAGCCUGACGGAGCAACGCCGCGUGAGUGAAGAAGGAUUUCGGUUCGUAAAGCUCUGUUGUUAGGGAAGAAUGGAUAUGUAGUAACUAUACAUGUAAGAGACGGUACCUAACCAGAAAGCCACGACUAACUACGUG
RNAcentral lists this ribosomal RNA (499 nucleotides) under uncultured bacterium. Its description in RNAcentral is "partial 16S ribosomal RNA". It matches the Rfam family "Bacterial small subunit ribosomal RNA", at positions 28 to 507 of the family's 1533-position model. The record is from RNAcentral.